This 460-nucleotide ribosomal RNA is filed under the name uncultured bacterium. RNAcentral describes it as "partial 16S ribosomal RNA". It matches the Rfam family "Bacterial small subunit ribosomal RNA", at positions 338 to 795 of the family's 1533-position model. The record is from RNAcentral.
CCUACGGGAGGCAGCAGUGAGGAAUAUUGGUCAAUGGGCGCGAGCCUGAACCAGCCAAGCAGCGUGAAGGAUGAAUGCCCUACGGGUUGUAAACUUCUUUUAUAAAGGAAUAAAGUGAGGCACGUGUGCCUUUUUGUAUGUACUUUAUGAACAAGGAUCGGCUAACUCCGUGCCAGCCGCCGCGGUAAUACGGAGGUUCCGAGCGUUAUCCGGAUUUAUUGGGUUUAAAGGGAGCGUAGAUGGGUUGUUAAGUCAGUUGUGAAAGUUCGCGGCUCAACCGUAAAAUUGCAAUUGAAACUGGCAGCCUUGAGUACAGUUGAGGUAGGCGGAAUUCGUGGUGUAGCGGUGAAAUGCUUAGAUAUCACGAAGAACUCCGAUUGCGAAGGCAGCUUACUAACCUGCCACUGACAUUGAUGCUCGAAAGUGUGGGUAUCAAACAGGAUUAGAUACCCGAGUAGUC